AUAAUUGUAAUAAAAUAAAAUAUAAAUAUAAAUAAAUACAAUAAUAAAUAAUAAAAUAAAUAUAAAUGAUUUGUUAUUGAGAAGCUGAAAGCCGGGAAAGUGAAAAACUUAAAUUGCUAACAGCUGAUCUAAAGCUGAUUCCGUAAGAUCAAUGUGUUUGAGUUGAGAUUUAUUUAAUUUAUUGAUUCUUAAUUUUUAAUAAUAAUUCAGUUUUUCGAUUAUAAGUAUAUUUAUGAAUUUAAGUGUAAAUUUAUAAAAGCUGCUAUUUUACGAUUUAUUAAUAUUUUGACUGUUAAAUUUCCAUUCAAUCAAAACAGUUAUUCAGUUGUUUCGAUGGAUUUGUAUUGUUUUUCCCGCGAUCACCAACAUGUUUGACCUUCCAUUUUGAUAUGUUCAUAAGUUAACUGAAAAUGUUUAAUAAGUGAAGAUUUGAAACCUUGAAUCUCUCUAUUAAUUGAAUCAAAUUCAAUCUGACAAUUGUAAGUUAUUAUUCAACUAUUCCAUUACAAAAGGUCAAGCCUUUUCAAAUAUGAAAGUAAACAUGAAACUACAAGCAUCAUUAACAUGUAUCUACAGCCACCAUCAUAAUCAUCAUCAACUGAUUUAUCAUCACAAUCAAGCUGGAUAAUCUGCAAAACUAUGCACCUUUUGAUGUCUUUUUUAAUUGUUCAUUGUGAAUUCAUUGUCUUUUCAACCAUUUCAACUGAUAUAUUCAAUGUUCAAUCUUACCUGCCAUGGACUAGUCUGUAAGUAAUUUUAUCUCAAUUCAAAAUAGUGAUCAACAGGCCUUCAAUUGAACAAGGUUGGUCAAAGCUUUACAAUUUACAGCAAAUGUGUUGGCUGAUCAAAAUCUGACCAAAUUUUGGCCAUAAAAGCUUCACCAAACUUAAACCUUGUCACAAGUAAAUUGUUAAUUUUGGACUAUUUGGGUUUCUGCUAGGACAGUUGAUUGAUUAAAUUGUGAUUCCAAGGUAAUUGUUUGGUAAACAAUGAAUUACAGUCUCAUCAAUUGUCAAGUACAGAGAGACUUUCAAUAGAUUUACACAUGAAUGGCGACCAAUCCAUUGAGCUAUAAACUGAUUAAUUGCUUAUUUAUGUUUAUUAUU
Non-coding RNA from Tetranychus urticae (two-spotted spider mite), 1106 nucleotides. NCBI's taxonomy places the organism in Eukaryota, Metazoa, Arthropoda, Arachnida, Trombidiformes, Tetranychidae. The record is from RefSeq and is a predicted model, not a curated record.